GAUGAACGCUGGCGGCGUGCCUAAUACAUGCAAGUCGAGCGAACGGACGAGAAGCUUGCUUCUCUGAUGUUAGCGGCGGACGGGUGAGUAACACGUGGAUAACCUACCUAUAAGACUGGGAUAACUUCGGGAAACCGUAGCUAAUACCGGAUAAUAUUUUGAACCGCAUGGUUCAAAAGUGAAAGACGGUCUUGCUGUCACUUAUAGAUGGAUCCGCGCUGCAUUAGAUAGUUGGUAAGGUAACGGCUUACCAAGGCAACGAUGCAUAGCCGACCUGAGAGGGUGAUCGGCCACACUGGAACUGAGAAACGGUCCAGACUCCUACGGGAGGCAGCAGUAGGGAAUCUUCCGCAAUGGGCGAAAGCCUGACGGAGCAACGCCGCGUGAGUGAUGAAGGUCUUCGGAUCGUAAAACUCUGUUAUUAGGGAAGAACAUAUGUGUAAGUAACUGUGCACAUCUUGACGGUACCUAAUCAGAAAGCCACGGCUAACUACGUG
RNAcentral lists this ribosomal RNA (497 nucleotides) under uncultured bacterium. RNAcentral describes it as "partial 16S ribosomal RNA". It matches the Rfam family "Bacterial small subunit ribosomal RNA", at positions 28 to 507 of the family's 1533-position model. The record is from RNAcentral.